CGCUACCUUUGUUCAAUGUAAAUGUUCGCAAAGAAUUAGCAGGCUGUUGCAACACAUACAAAGAUCCAAAAAUAAAUACUUUGCAACACUUUUGUAGUGUUUAUAGUGUUGUCUGAGUUCACAUUAAACCAUUUAUCACAUCACUGGACAACACCUGAUCACACACACACACACACACACACACACACACACAGAUACAAGGGGAGGAGACAAAAUAGCCAUAAUACAGAAAGAGCUAUGGAGGGAGAGCAUGAGUAGCUAGUGUAAAUGUUAGCAGCUUUUUUUUCCUCAAACCUUUGUAGGGGCUGUGAGUAAAAAGUGCGUGUGAACUCAAAGAGAAGGGGAAAAUGCAUUUUUAUUUUCUUCGUUACUUCCCUAAGCCACCAUUGCACUGUUUUGUAUAAAUUAACCAUGAAACAUCACUAAGCUGAAACCGUCACACCGAUACUUUGAGAGAUAUUACCCUGAUAAUAAAAUAUGUUUUAAAUCUCAGUCAUACUGUUUAAUUUAUGACGCUGCUCUUUUAUCCGUUGUCUUUUUACGCCAUAAAGGAGCUUAAAGGGACACACAUGCAUCACCGCAGACUUGCUCUUGUUGUCCUCCACGUGUAAAUAUUAAUUUUGCAAGCUAACUACAACAUUAACAGUUGUCAUGGGCUGUGAAAGGGAAAAACAGUUUUUCUCCAGCAAGGGCUUUUAAUUUUUAAAGGACAGGAGCACACAAGGGCUUUUUAAAUGCUCAGCGCUGCAGCAGUGUCAUUUUAAAGGGUGUUGUGUGGAAGGAAAGGCAAAGUACAUUUGCACCUGAACAACUGUUUUUUAACCAGCUGAAUAGCUAACUAACGAUAUAACACGCUUCAUGCAAAAAGAGAAGCGGAGGAAGAGAAAUAGACUCUUCUACUCAUGUUAGUUACCGGUAAGCCUUUAGCUGCUUUUUCUGGCUAACUUAGGUUAGAAGGGUAACUUUCUGAUGUAAUUAGAGAUUAAGAGUAUCGCCUUAAGCAGAGGUAGGAUACUUUUGGUUAAGAAUUAUUUGAGUUAGUUUAAGGAUCAAACAUAUAUUAGCAAAAAUAUUGUUAAUCAAACUUGGUGCCAAAUAUUACUCAAAAUAUUUCCUGUAUAUCAUGGUCUCCAGGUUAGCUUUAGAUUUUAGGUUCAGUCCUCCAAGUACUCUUUGUUUGCAUAGGGUUUCCUGCAGUAUACUCACUCAGCAGUAGUAGCUAUGUAGCUCAGCACAUCCGUGGCCCCUAUAGGGGUCAGAGUUCUGAACCGCAUCCAUGAGCCAUGUCAACAUUAAUAUUUCAAACCAUGCAUGCCAUAUCCAUCCGCUUCCAGUGCUUACAUUCGCUCUAUUUCUAAUCCAGUCUCAAAUGGCACCCUAAUCUCUACACUCCGUAAGGGACACUGGACAGCUACAUUUAAGACGCCUUUCAAGGGUGUGUGGAACUGUAAGCCUGUGUCGUGUUUAACGAUGUUUACUCCAAUAGAGCACAGGGUGCUAUUUGAGACUAGACCUCUGUCUAUCUCUUCUUACCGCCAUACAGCUUUGAUACUCUGAAAUCAACAACAAAUAAUUGUAUUAUUAGUAAAAAAAAAAUAUUCUACUCUAAAGGUGCCACUGUGCAGAGGAUGACAAACUCUGUCACAUAUUAUAGUUAUUAAUCUAUUAAUGGGGGGGGGGGGGGUAGUCGAAAGGGAGCAGAGUUGGGAAGCAGGGGUUGUAGUCUUUGUAAUAUUAUAUUAUUCUAGUUUCAUUUUCUACUUUGAUGUGGUUUGUGAGAUUGUGUUGUUUUAGCACAUCUGAAGCCUCUGACGAAAGGGGAGCAAGAGACAAUGGAGCGCUCGGACGAUCUGUCGUGGACAUUAACCUCACCUAACUGGUGUCAGAGGUCAACUUUACAGUUUUUCAGCGGGACAUUCAACACUGAAAGUGCAAUAUACACACACACACACACACACACACACACACACAUAUGCCUUCAAAGUAAGGUUACUAUACCUUUGAGGACCCAUUCCCCCAACGCACUAGAGACUUAAGUUCUGUGACCUGGAUACAGAAAAUAAUGCAAUGUAAUACAGUAGUAAAAACAAAUACUACUUUUAUAACGCUUCAAAGUAUCCACUUUUUUCAAGACUAACAGAUGUAACAUAAUAGAAACAGUUUACCAUGUAAGCCUCUGUAAUACAACUCAAAAAUACCGCAGAUUUGAACAACAGCCUCUUCAGCAGUGUCACCAAAACAACAACUUUAGAUUUCACAGAAGUAAUGUUUUUGCAGGACUGCCAUGAUAAAUUGUUUUUCAUUCUAGGGUUGCUUUUGCUGCUUGCACUCAUAUGUAUUCUUUAUCUAUUUAGAUGGUUAAUAGUGUUAUUACAUUUUAUCUUCUCCCCUUUCACUGUGGCUUUAAAAAAAGUCAUCUGUCCUUGAAAUCUGUUGGUACUUUUAAAUAAAGGUUCAAAGUAACACAUUAAGGCAAUUAAAUGCUCCAAAGGAAGCCUGGAGCACACAUAUGUUGUGAAUAAAUAGUGAUAUCACUCAGGUUUCUCUUAAAAUAAAACAAAAAAAUGAAUAACAAAUGUAGCAAUUUGAGAAAUUAACAUGUUCAUUAAUUAAUAAUAUGCUCUAAACUAUGGCCAUCCUUUCCAAAUUGUAACUAUGACCUUAUAUACUUAAAAAACGGACCCUACAAAAGAAUUGUGUGCAAUGUAGGUCCUCAAAAGUAUAGAAACACAAGACAUAGCAAUACACACAUUCAUUAAUGGUCACAUACAUAUACACAGACAUUCAUUUGUGCACAGAUACACUCACUUAUACAACACACACUCGCAACUUCGGCCAGUGCAGUUUGUGGAUAAAUGUGUUCUGUUAAAAGAAAAAUCACUGUGUCAUGUUUGGAAAAAAAAUCAUUUUAAGUGUUUAUUUUUGAAAAAAAAAAAAAAAAUGCCGCGGAUUUGUCGCUCUUCAAAGGAACUUCAAGUACUGAGCCAGCUAAUCAAACACAGAGGUCCAGAAGAAAUGUUUGAGAAAUGUGAAUUUAUUGGAAUAGACAAACACAUGUUAAAAGAACUCUACACUUUGCACAUGCAACCAACACACACACACACACACACACAAACACACACACACACACACACACACAGGUUACUGUGUGAGGAGGGCUUACAGGUGGAGUUAUGUGCCUGCAUGUUUGUGCGUUAAUAUCUAUGUGUGCGUGUGUGUGUGUGUGUGUGUGCGUGUGCGUGUGCGUGUGCGCCGUUAGUCUCUCCUCACCCAUGCACCCAGUGCCUGCCUGUCCUGCCUUCAUACUGCUCCCAGAUCAGCCAUGGGGCUUCCAGUAUAACCUCCUCUGAAUUCCCACAACCUUUAACGGUUGCGCUGGGAUCAGUUUUAGAGCUAACUGCCCCGAUCAUUCCUCAACAGACGCAGCCAUACAAGAUACAAGGACUGUUUUGGAGUCAGUGGUUUCUGGUGGAUAUUGUGUACAAAAUGUAUUAAUGAUGAGUUUAUAUUACAAGGCUAAGGAGAAGGCAUUUUUUUAAUUUCCAACGUCUGACUGGACUGUUAACUUUGAGUUUUGAUGAACCUGCUGUUCACAUCUGACUCACUGUGUUGGUCUGUAAGGCUGAUUUAGGAUCGGCAGAGGGGGCUUAGCGGGAUAGACCCAAAUCUAUUGAGUCCCCAAUGACAGCUGGUCUUCAAUGAGCGCUACCUGGUGUAGCCUGCUGUUCCUCAUGUUCUCAAACUUCACAAAUAUUAACAAAAAAAAAGGGGGACUAGCUUGUCUUCAAUACUUGCUUGUCAAACGAUUGUGUUGCUGAGGAUUUGUCUGUAGGAGCUCCUACAUCAGAAUGCUUCUUCUUUCAGAUGACGUGAGAGGUCGUCCAACUUGUACUGCCAAUUAGAAUUAAAUGUUCUUCAUGUGGGACAUUUUACAUAAAGACAGGUUUCCAAAAAUAUUUCCCUUAACAGAAUCUCUGAUUCAAAUAGCAGCAACAAUUUAGUUAAUUAUUCUGGCCUUGGUGCCUAUUAAGUCCAUUUUUUUAGUGCCAGGCUUUAGCCCUUUAGCUAGAGAGAUUUUGUACCUGUCUUGCAGUUUACACGUUAUUUUGACAGGAAGUACAGUGAUUAAAAUCUCAAACCCCGCGUUCAGACAGUGUUGUUUACAUGCAGAACAUGUCCGAGGCUGGCAUGGUUGACUGACCAAGGAUGAAAGGUCCAAAAUGGCAGAAAGUUUAACCAGGCUUCAAGAGUGUUGUCCUGCAUAAGGUGUAUUCAGGCUCCCUUAUGCAUUAAUUGCUUGUGAGCAUUGGCAACAGUACACGUUAUAGGUGUCUUCUUAUUGUUUUUUGGGGUUAUUUAGUGGAAUCGUGAGUUGAUCUUAUUCAAAAAGAUGAUCUGAUUCUAGUUUUUAUUGAUGUUUUCUAAAAAAGUCACUAGAGAUUUUCAGGCCAAAUCCUACAAUUUAUAUGUGAUCUAUUGGAUCAUUAUUUCGAUUUUCAAUGAGUCAAACUCUCAUCUGAGAAAGUCAAGCCCCAAAGAGACUACGUUGCCCAUCACCUUCUACGGAGCUACAUUGUAAUGGGUGGAGUCAGGCUACCAUGCAUAGAGACCAGUAUAAAAACACAGAAUAAUCAAAAGUUUUGUAUGAUCACAGAGUGCUCAUACUGUGAGUGGUCUAGUCAGGCUAGCAGCAUGUAGCUGAUGGCAAUGUCGGUCAUUGACCACUUUGGUCCAAAAUGAAAUAUCUUGACAACUAUUUACUGGAUGGUAAUAGAAUUUGGUAGACGUACAGAUAUUCAUGGUGCCCAGAGGAGAAGUCCUGCUUGCUUCGGUGACACCCCUGACAUAUCCUCUAGGUUGACGUUGGACAAUUUUAAGUGGAAUGUCGAGACAACUCGACAUCAUCAGGUCAAUUGUUUGUUUGUAACUUAAUACCCACAACACCAAGGACAUUCAGCCCCAGCUGCACCUUAGUGUUUAGUGCUACAAAACUGCUAAACGACUAAACAUCACCACGUUAGCUUUGUCAUUGUCCAGUUACAUUGGAGUAUUAGUGUUAGUAUUUAGCUCAAAGCACCAGUGUGCAGUCUAGCAAAGCCACUAGCAUGGCUUCAGACUCUUAGUCUUGUUAAUUGAAGUAGUUUAAAUGGUAAAUGAUUGUAACCUGACUUUGUCCAUUUUAAAGUUGACAUGAGUCAACUACUGUUAGAUAACAAAAUGCCAGAAUACAAACUCAGGAGAAGAGAUGGUGAUGUUAGUGACAUUUUUUAAGUAUUUCUUAAUCGAUUCAAAUUUGCAUUUAUUUUUCUCCUAGUGUACAGUGACAAUAAAUGGAGUAGUCCCUUCAAAAGAGCAC
Molecule: long non-coding RNA, 5356 nt
Organism: Etheostoma cragini (Arkansas darter)
Lineage: Eukaryota; Metazoa; Chordata; Actinopteri; Perciformes; Percidae
Exons: 2
Source: RefSeq, a predicted model, not a curated record